RNAcentral lists this ribosomal RNA (779 nucleotides) under uncultured marine bacterium. RNAcentral's name for it is "bacterial SSU rRNA". It matches the Rfam family "Bacterial small subunit ribosomal RNA", at positions 38 to 864 of the family's 1533-position model. The record is from RNAcentral.
GGGGGGCCGCCCUUAUCAUGCAAGUCGAACGAAGUAGCAAUACUUAGUGGCAGACGGGUGAGUAACAUGUGGGUAUCUUCCCUAUGGUGAGGAAUAACACGAGGAAACUUGUGCUAAUACCUCAUAAGUCUUUACGGAGAAAGCUUUAUGCGCCAUUGGAUGAGCCCGCACUUGAUUAGUUUGUUGGUAGGGUAACGGCCUACCAAGACUGUGAUCAAUAGCUGAUUUGAGAGGAUGAUCAGCCACAUUGGGACUGAGACACGGCCCAAACUCCUACGGGAGGCAGCAGUAAGGAAUCUUGCACAAUGGAGGAAACUCUGAUGCAGCGAUGCCGCGUGAGUGAAGAAGGCCCUUGGGUUGUAAAGCUCUUUCGUCGGGGAAGAAAAUGACUGUACCCGAAUAAGAAGGUCCGGCUAACUUCGUGCCAGCAGCCGCGGUAAUACGAAGGGACCUAGCGUAGUUCGGAAUUACUGGGCUUAAAGAGUUCGUAGGUGGUUAAAAAAGUUGGUGGUGAAAUCCCAGAGCUUAACUCUGGAACUGCCAUCAAAGCUUUUUAGCUAGAGUAUGAUAGAGGAAAGCAGAAUUUCUAGUGUAGAGGUGAAAUUCGUAGAUAUUAGAAAGAAUACCAAUUGCGAAGGCAGCUUUCUGGAUCAUUACUGACACUGAGGAACGAAAGCAUGGGUAGCGAAGAGGAUUAGAUACCCUCGUAGUCCAUGCCGUAAACGAUGUGUGUUAGACGUUGGAAAAUUUAUUUUCAGUGUCGCAGCGAAAGCGAUAAA